This 625-nucleotide ribosomal RNA is filed under the name uncultured bacterium. RNAcentral describes it as "bacterial SSU rRNA". It matches the Rfam family "Bacterial small subunit ribosomal RNA", at positions 11 to 637 of the family's 1533-position model. The record is from RNAcentral.
GUUUGAUCAUGGCUCAGGAUGAACGCUGGCGGCGUGCUUAACACAUGCAAGUCGAACGGGAAUUACUUUAUUGAAACUUCGGUCGAUUUAAUUUAAUUCUAGUGGCGGACGGGUGAGUAACGCGUGGGUAACCUGCCUUAUACAGGGGGAUAACAGUCAGAAAUGGCUGCUAAUACCGCAUAAGCGCACAGAGCUGCAUGGCUCAGUGUGAAAAACUCCGGUGGUAUAAGAUGGACCCGCGUUGGAUUAGCUAGUUGGUGGGGUAACGGCCCACCAAGGCGACGAUCCAUAGCCGGCCUGAGAGGGUGGACGACCACAUUGGGACUGAGACACGGCCCAGACUCCUACGGGAGGCAGCAGUGGGGAAUAUUGCACAAUGGGGGAAACCCUGAUGCAGCGACGCCGCGUGAAGGAAGAAGUAUCUCGGUAUGUAAACUUCUAUCAGCAGGGAAGAUAGUGACGGUACCUGACUAAGAAGCCCCGGCUAACUACGUGCCAGCAGCCGCGGUAAUACGUAGGGGGCAAGCGUUAUCCGGAUUUACUGGGUGUAAAGGGAGCGUAGACGGUGUGGCAAGUCUGAUGUGAAAGGCAUGGGCUCAACCUGUGGACUGCAUUGGAAACUGUC